CGGUUGAUCCUGCCGGACCAACUGCUAUCGGGAUGGGACUAAGCCAUGCGAGUUGCGCGCCUCAUAGCCACGGUUGAGGCGCAGCGAACAGCUCAGUAUCAUGUGGCUAACUUACCCUAAGGACGUGAAUAACCCCGGGAAACUGGGGAUAAUUCGCGAUAGGUGAAGAGGCCUGGAAUGGUUCUUCGUCGAAAGGGGAUUAGGGGCAUGCUUCCUGAUUUCGCUUUAGGAUAGGGCCGCACCCGAUCAGGUCGUUGGUGAGGUAAUGGCCCACCAAGGCUAUAACAGGUACGGGCUCUGAGAGGAGGGGCCCGGAGAUGGGUACUGAGACACGGACCCAGGCCCUAUGGGGCGCAGCAGGCGAGAAACCUUUGCAAUGUGCGAAAGCACGACAAGGUUACUCCGAGUGUCUCCUGCUCACGGAGUCUUCUGUCAGUUGUCGAAUCCCUGCUGACUCACGGGUGGGCAAGUUCUGGUGUCAGCCG
This 485-nucleotide ribosomal RNA is filed under the name uncultured archaeon. RNAcentral describes it as "bacterial SSU rRNA". It matches the Rfam family "Archaeal small subunit ribosomal RNA", at positions 5 to 464 of the family's 1478-position model. The record is from RNAcentral.